Dryococelus australis is the source of this 72-nucleotide non-coding RNA. Lineage: Eukaryota; Metazoa; Arthropoda; Insecta; Phasmatodea; Phasmatidae. The record is from the annotation of a GenBank genome assembly.
GUGUGUGUAUUCUAGUGCUUAAUAUCCCCGCCUGUCAUGCGGGAGACCGGGGUUCGAUUCCCCUGUCUCACA